UUGGCAGCGCUGCCAAAGUUUCCUGACUACAGAAAGCGGAAAUACUGUCGGAGUCGGACAUUGAAGAGAGCUUAGAUCAGGCCUGCAUCUUACUAAAAUUUCUCUUUUUCAGCAGAAUGUCGUCGUUGGUGGGUUGGCAACUAGACCACAGACUAAGAGUAGGCUGUCGGAGUAGACAUCAGUACUACACUUCCACUCGUAGUCUAUCCCUAGACGGAAGAAAAAAAUGUUUCACAAGCUAAGCAACUGGCAAGAACCAUCAGAUUCCUUCAUUGAGACUAGAGCAAGAUGAGAGUUGUUCUGCCUAAAUGGAUGAAUCGGGUCGUCGUAAUUUUCUUUAAGAGAUUAUGCAGCCUGUAAAGAAAUGUACAGAGUUGCACUAUGCAAAAUGGAAGUUGAACUCAAGUUGGCCUUUGUGAAUUGUUCUUCAGCAAUAUUUCAAUUGGAUCUAUUGGAAGAGUACUAGAAGCUGCCUUUGUGCAUUUUCAAGUUCAAGAAAAAAUAAUGUAGAUGGACGAUGUAGAAAAUGGAAAUAAUCAAGAUGGAGACUUCGGUUUAGAUGGUAGAAUCAUAUUGCUCGGUGGAGAGAAUCUGACUUUAAAAGAGCUGGCGCCGCCGUAGACAUCAGUAAACAGAUCUUGUGGCAGGAGAAACUCUUUGUGGAACAAUCUAAUGCCCUUGUGGUACUACCCGACUUCCAGACCACGCAUUGUCACCAUUCUACUCGCGAGCUGCCACGAAAACGAUAUCUUUUGUGUUGGGGCAAUAUGGUUUUGUAGUGAUGCCUGCUGAUAAGAAUCGUCCCGCUACCAUACUUUUGAAUGCAAACUGAAAUCUGUAUUAAAUUCCGUCGGUAUUGCACACCUGGGAGCGAUGAUAGUUGUUUCGUAUGGGCUGGAGCAAUUAGUUCUUGAUGGUACGGAAAGUGAAGAAAGUUCCCGGUAUGGAUAGCUUAUGACACAACGUUAUCAGGCUAUGUUCCAUCUGAUCUCGCAUACUGAACGAGUGAUGAGCUUUAUCAACACGUCUCGACUGCCGCUCUUUUAGCGUUGCGACUGACAACGCACACGCAAUUACCGAAAUCUGCGGUCUAGAUAAGAACAGUGAAAGACAAGAGAAUUGCAUUUGCCAUUUACCCAUCCGCCUAUUUAAUAAACUGCAGUUGCGAUUAAACAGUGGACAAAAGUUUCCAAGGCAAUAAACUAAUCGUCCUUGCCAUCUGCGAUAUUCUGCAAGGUGAUCAAGUGUGCAACUGUUAUGUGCCGCAUUGGUGAGGCAUUUGGAAGGUGCCAAGUGAAUUUACCGGAUCCAUUUCGUCAAAUGUCAAAAUUGACAAAAUAUUUUAUUAUUUUAAAUAAUCAUAUUAAUUAGAAACUUGCAUUGAUUAAUGUUAACUUCUAUAUGGAUAAAAUACGUAGAAUGUCAGGAAAUCAUUUUGAUCGUCCAAAGAUUUCCCUACUUUCUAAAAUGUUUUUUAUUUAUUCCUUUUGAAGUGCAUAUCUGUGCUCUUAUUUUCUGUGGCCCUGUUUCACUUUGCCUUGUGAUAAGUAUGUCGUGUCAAGCCGUUACUUUCCUUAGCAGACAAAAUUGGAAGUGAUCUCGGCAAAAGGGAAAUGGAGAUAUU
Molecule: long non-coding RNA, 1624 nt
Filed under: Daphnia magna
Lineage: Eukaryota; Metazoa; Arthropoda; Branchiopoda; Diplostraca; Daphniidae
Description: uncharacterized LOC116920416, transcript variant X4
Source: RNAcentral